GAUGAACGCUGGCGGCGUGCCUAAUACAUGCAAGUCGAGCGAACGGACGAGAAGCUUGCUUCUCUGAUGUUAGCGGCGGACGGGUGAGUAACACGUGGAUAACCUACCUAUAAGACUGGGAUAAUUUCGGGAAACCGGAGCUUAUACCGGAUAAGCUUUUGAACCGCAUGGUUCAAAAGUAAAAGACGGCGGUGGUGUCACUUCUAGAUGGAUCUGCGCUGCAUUAGCUAGUUGUUAAGGUAACGGCUUAUCAAGGCAACGAUGCAUAGGCGAGCUGAGAGAGUGAUAGGCCACCCUGGAACUGGGACACGGUCCAGACUCCUACGGGACGCAGCAGUAGGGAAUCUUCCGCAAUGGGCGAAAACCUGACGCAGCAACGCCGCGUGAGUGAUGAAGGUCUUCGGAUCGUAAAACUCUCUUAUUAGGGAAGAACAUAUGUGUAAGUAACUGUGCACAUCUUGACGGUACCUAAUCAGAAAGCCACGGCUAACUACGUG
RNAcentral lists this ribosomal RNA (497 nucleotides) under uncultured bacterium. RNAcentral describes it as "partial 16S ribosomal RNA". It matches the Rfam family "Bacterial small subunit ribosomal RNA", at positions 28 to 507 of the family's 1533-position model. The record is from RNAcentral.